This 439-nucleotide ribosomal RNA is filed under the name uncultured bacterium. RNAcentral's name for it is "partial 16S ribosomal RNA". It matches the Rfam family "Bacterial small subunit ribosomal RNA", at positions 339 to 795 of the family's 1533-position model. The record is from RNAcentral.
CUACGGGUUGCUGCAGUGAGGAAUAUUGCACAAUGGGGGGAACCCUGAUGCAGCAACGCCGCGUGGAGGAUGACGCAUUUCGGUGUGUAAACUCCUUUUAUAUGUCAAGAAAAUGACGGUAGCAUAUGAAUAAGCACCGGCUAACUCCGUGCCAGCAGCCGCGGUAAUACGGAGGGUGCAAGCGUUACUCGGAAUCACUGGGCGUAAAGGACGCGUAGGCGGGUGGGAAAGUCAGGUGUGAAAUCCUACAGCUGAACUGUAGGACUGCACUUGAAACUUCUAAUCUAGAGUAUGGGAGGGGGAGAUGGAAUUAGUGGUGUAGGGGUAAAAUCCGUAGAUAUCACUAGGAAUACCUAAAGCGAAGGCGAUCUCCUGGAACAUUACUGACGCUAAGGCGUGAAAGCGUGGGGAGCAAACAGGAUUAGAUACCCUAGUAGUC